UAUUUGUAAAACUCAAUAUCUGAUAAGCAUUAGUAAAUCUACAGCUUUUAUAUAAAUCUUGUAAACUAUAUGGUAUAGUCUUGAACUUGUAAAUAGGGCUUCAGACUUCAAAGGACUCAAAAACAAAAAGUAUUGCAUCUCAAUAUAUACAUUUUAUAAGUUUCUUGGUAAGUAUCCCCUUUUGAAAUAUUGAUUAAUUUGUUUUCACACUCCACAUAGCAACUAAUCUUCAUCAUCAA
This 239-nucleotide long non-coding RNA is filed under the name Brassica napus (rape). RNAcentral describes it as "long non-coding RNA (BNAP_LNC002904)". The record is from RNAcentral. Lineage: Eukaryota; Viridiplantae; Streptophyta; Magnoliopsida; Brassicales; Brassicaceae.